Molecule: ribosomal RNA, 2856 nt
Filed under: Staphylococcus aureus
Lineage: Bacteria; Bacillati; Bacillota; Bacilli; Caryophanales; Staphylococcaceae
Description: partial 23S ribosomal RNA
Rfam family: Bacterial large subunit ribosomal RNA
Source: RNAcentral
GAUGAAGGACGUUACUAACUACGAUAUGCUUUGGGGAGCUGUAAGUAAGCUUUGAUCCAGAGAUUUCCGAAUGGGGAAACCCAGCAUGAGUUAUGUCAUGUUAUCGAUAUGUGAAUACAUAGCAUAUCAGAAGGCACACCCGGAGAACUGAAACAUCUUAGUACCCGGAGGAAGAGAAAGAAAAUUCGAUUCCCUUAGUAGCGGCGAGCGAAACGGGAAGAGCCCAAACCAACAAGCUUGCUUGUUGGGGUUGUAGGACACUCUAUACGGAGUUACAAAGGACGACAUUAGACGAAUCAUCUGGAAAGAUGAAUCAAAGAAGGUAAUAAUCCUGUAGUCGAAAAUGUUGUCUCUCUUGAGUGGAUCCUGAGUACGACGGAGCACGUGAAAUUCCGUCGGAAUCUGGGAGGACCAUCUCCUAAGGCUAAAUACUCUCUAGUGACCGAUAGUGAACCAGUACCGUGAGGGAAAGGUGAAAAGCACCCCGGAAGGGGAGUGAAAUAGAACCUGAAACCGUGUGCUUACAAGUAGUCAGAGCCCGUUAAUGGGUGAUGGCGUGCCUUUUGUAGAAUGAACCGGCGAGUUACGAUUUGAUGCAAGGUUAAGCAGUAAAUGUGGAGCCGUAGCGAAAGCGAGUCUGAAUAGGGCGUUUAGUAUUUGGUCGUAGACCCGAAACCAGGUGAUCUACCCUUGGUCAGGUUGAAGUUCAGGUAACACUGAAUGGAGGACCGAACCGACUUACGUUGAAAAGUGAGCGGAUGAACUGAGGGUAGCGGAGAAAUUCCAAUCGAACCUGGAGAUAGCUGGUUCUCUCCGAAAUAGCUUUAGGGCUAGCCUCAAGUGAUGAUUAUUGGAGGUAGAGCACUGUUUGGACGAGGGGCCCCUCUCGGGUUACCGAAUUCAGACAAACUCCGAAUGCCAAUUAAUUUAACUUGGGAGUCAGAACAUGGGUGAUAAGGUCCGUGUUCGAAAGGGAAACAGCCCAGACCACCAGCUAAGGUCCCAAAAUAUAUGUUAAGUGGAAAAGGAUGUGGCGUUGCCCAGACAACUAGGAUGUUGGCUUAGAAGCAGCCAUCAUUUAAAGAGUGCGUAAUAGCUCACUAGUCGAGUGACACUGCGCCGAAAAUGUACCGGGGCUAAACAUAUUACCGAAGCUGUGGAUUGUCCUUUGGACAAUGGUAGGAGAGCGUUCUAAGGGCGUUGAAGCAUGAUCGUAAGGACAUGUGGAGCGCUUAGAAGUGAGAAUGCCGGUGUGAGUAGCGAAAGACGGGUGAGAAUCCCGUCCACCGAUUGACUAAGGUUUCCAGAGGAAGGCUCGUCCGCUCUGGGUUAGUCGGGUCCUAAGCUGAGGCCGACAGGCGUAGGCGAUGGAUAACAGGUUGAUAUUCCUGUACCACCUAUAAUCGUUUUAAUCGAUGGGGGGACGCAGUAGGAUAGGCGAAGCGUGCGAUUGGAUUGCACGUCUAAGCAGUAAGGCUGAGUAUUAGGCAAAUCCGGUACUCGUUAAGGCUGAGCUGUGAUGGGGAGAAGACAUUGUGUCUUCGAGUCGUUGAUUUCACACUGCCGAGAAAAGCCUCUAGAUAGAAAAUAGGUGCCCGUACCGCAAACCGACACAGGUAGUCAAGAUGAGAAUUCUAAGGUGAGCGAGCGAACUCUCGUUAAGGAACUCGGCAAAAUGACCCCGUAACUUCGGGAGAAGGGGUGCUCUUUAGGGUUAACGCCCAGAAGAGCCGCAGUGAAUAGGCCCAAGCGACUGUUUAUCAAAAACACAGGUCUCUGCUAAACCGUAAGGUGAUGUAUAGGGGCUGACGCCUGCCCGGUGCUGGAAGGUUAAGAGGAGUGGUUAGCUUCUGCGAAGCUACGAAUCGAAGCCCCAGUAAACGGCGGCCGUAACUAUAACGGUCCUAAGGUAGCGAAAUUCCUUGUCGGGUAAGUUCCGACCCGCACGAAAGGCGUAACGAUUUGGGCACUGUCUCAACGAGAGACUCGGUGAAAUCAUAGUACCUGUGAAGAUGCAGGUUACCCGCGACAGGACGGAAAGACCCCGUGGAGCUUUACUGUAGCCUGAUAUUGAAAUUCGGCACAGCUUGUACAGGAUAGGUAGGAGCCUUUGAAACGUGAGCGCUAGCUUACGUGGAGGCGCUGGUGGGAUACUACCCUAGCUGUGUUGGCUUUCUAACCCGCACCACUUAUCGUGGUGGGAGACAGUGUCAGGCGGGCAGUUUGACUGGGGCGGUCGCCUCCUAAAAGGUAACGGAGGCGCUCAAAGGUUCCCUCAGAAUGGUUGGAAAUCAUUCAUAGAGUGUAAAGGCAUAAGGGAGCUUGACUGCGAGACCUACAAGUCGAGCAGGGUCGAAAGACGGACUUAGUGAUCCGGUGGUUCCGCAUGGAAGGGCCAUCGCUCAACGGAUAAAAGCUACCCCGGGGAUAACAGGCUUAUCUCCCCCAAGAGUUCACAUCGACGGGGAGGUUUGGCACCUCGAUGUCGGCUCAUCGCAUCCUGGGGCUGUAGUCGGUCCCAAGGGUUGGGCUGUUCGCCCAUUAAAGCGGUACGCGAGCUGGGUUCAGAACGUCGUGAGACAGUUCGGUCCCUAUCCGUCGUGGGCGUAGGAAAUUUGAGAGGAGCUGUCCUUAGUACGAGAGGACCGGGAUGGACAUACCUCUGGUGUACCAGUUGUCGUGCCAACGGCAUAGCUGGGUAGCUAUGUGUGGACGGGAUAAGUGCUGAAAGCAUCUAAGCAUGAAGCCCCCCUCAAGAUGAGAUUUCCCAACUUCGGUUAUAAGAUCCCUCAAAGAUGAUGAGGUUAAUAGGUUCGAGGUGGAAGCAUGGUGACAUGUGGAGCUGACGAAUACUAA